GACGCAAACGAUGACGCAAUGACGCAAUAACUUACCUUUGAACCUAAUUCACCUUUGAACCUGCAACAAUGAGUUGACCAAAGAAAAGAAAAGUCAACAAUGAGUGCUGAAUGUUUAAUGAGGAGUGGACAGCUAAAUAUUGUUUCACCGAUCUGCUACUGGUCCGGCCGUCUGUCAAAUUUUAAAACUCAAAUAGUGGCCCCGAGCCAAAAAGUUUGCCCACCCUAAGCUAGAAGAACCACCUGCUUUUUUAAAUCAGCUGUGUGGGAACAUUUCGGGUUCCCUGUGGACUACAAGAACGAUGGAGUGCAAGUGGUGGAUCGGAUGAGGACGGUGUGUUGGUGUUGUUCGACAGCGGUGCGGUAUGCUAAUGAUGAUCUCAAGGGAGCACCCAGAAGAGGCUGAGUAAUAGAAACGUGAACUCAAGAGAUUCAACAGGAUCAUACUGAAUCCUGGUUUGGACUGAGGACCAGCAUCCCCUGCAGCAGAUGUUUGCUCCUGGCAUGUGUGCAAACAGCAUGACCUCCAUCACUGACAAUCUCGCUCUCAGGAUCCAACGCCAGCAACUUAGACUCGGAGAUGCUGUGAAACAAACUCUGCAUGACAGUGCAGUGCGUUCUGCUGCUCAGACAUUAAGGAACAGAUCAGUCAACACAGUCUGGAGACGCUCUCAUUCGGAAAGUUAACUUGAUGAAAGAUGUUUAUCACAGUUACCACAAUGGAUCCACACAUUGUUUGACUUUUUCUAAAUUGAAACUGGAUUAAUAUUUUCCCGUAUACUGUAUAUACAUCUGCUUUUGAUAUUCCGUGUUUAUUUACGCUGUUGCCCAUACACUGCAGUUGUGACAUAUACUGUGUUAUUCUGGAUACAGUAUCAACAAGCGCUGGAACUGUAAAUGGAAAAUAAUCAAAUGGUAUUUUCAUUUUUAGGUCUGAUAUUACAGCACUUGCCCAGUGCAGCAACAUACAAAACAUGUGCACAGUACUGUGUAAAAUACAUUUGAACAGAUAGGAUCAAGAUUUCCCAGACGAUUACUCAUUUAUUGGAACUUUAUCUUCUAAUUGCGAUCACAAAGAAACCAUUGUGAUUAAGGUGCUUAUAAAUGCAAAUCAAAACCAUCUACAUUUCACAUAGACACUUUGGCAGCCUUUGUUGUUUUCGAUUAAUAAUCCUGUCAAGGAAUGUAUUCUGAUGAUGAUUUAUAGCUCCAUAACUUUAGCUGUCUGUGAAACCUAACAGAAAUAAAGAACUUGUAUUCAA
Long non-coding RNA from Notothenia coriiceps (black rockcod), 1261 nucleotides. RefSeq lists it as uncharacterized. The transcript has 3 exons. NCBI's taxonomy places the organism in Eukaryota, Metazoa, Chordata, Actinopteri, Perciformes, Nototheniidae. The record is from RefSeq and is a predicted model, not a curated record.